UUUUCCUGAGAAAACAAACUUUUGUU
Molecule: non-coding RNA, 26 nt
Filed under: Cricetulus griseus (Chinese hamster)
Lineage: Eukaryota; Metazoa; Chordata; Mammalia; Rodentia; Cricetidae
Source: RNAcentral